Molecule: long non-coding RNA, 374 nt
Filed under: Anas platyrhynchos platyrhynchos (common mallard)
Lineage: Eukaryota; Metazoa; Chordata; Aves; Anseriformes; Anatidae
Description: lncRNA (ENSAPLG00000030916.1)
Source: RNAcentral
AUGCCGGGCUUUGCAUUGCCCAAUGACUCCCAGGCCUGCACAGAUGCCUGGCUGACAGACAAGAAGAGGAGCACCGUUGCUGAGGUUUCUCUGAAUAUUUCAGGCCUGAUCGAACUCCGAAAGCAAAUGCUCUCAGCAGUUUCCUUCAGGAGCUCUUGCAAACAACCAGGAAUGUCAGAACCAGAACGUUUCCCCAGUGACAGCUUCAUCCUUUAAACUUCGCAGAUGAGACAGCAUGCGGAGCAAUCUGUGCUGAAGCAGGAUUAGGAGUUACCAGGGUGACACUUUGUAAUUUGUAGGAUGCUGACAAUGAACCUCGGAAAAGCACAAGACCUUUGCUGGAGCUCAAGAGACCACAGAGACCCAAUUGGCAU